Molecule: ribosomal RNA, 253 nt
Filed under: uncultured bacterium
Lineage: Bacteria
Description: partial 16S ribosomal RNA
Rfam family: Bacterial small subunit ribosomal RNA
Source: RNAcentral
UACGUAGGGCGCAAGCGUUGUCCGGAAUUACUGGGCGUAAAGCGUGCGUAGGUGGUUGUUUAAGUCUGCUGUGAAAGCCCUGGGCUCAACCUGGGAAUUGCAGUGGAUACUGGGCGACUAGAGUGUGGUAGAGGAUAGUGGAAUUUCCGGUGUAGCAGUGAAAUGCGUAGAGAUCGGAAGGAACAUCUGUGGCGAAGGCGGGUUGCUGGGCUGACACUGACGCUGAUGUGCGAAAGCUAGGGGAGCGAACGGG